RNAcentral lists this transfer RNA (67 nucleotides) under Marmota monax (woodchuck). RNAcentral's name for it is "tRNA.Ala". Lineage: Eukaryota; Metazoa; Chordata; Mammalia; Rodentia; Sciuridae. The record is from RNAcentral.
GGUUGUGGCUCAGCGGCAGAGCGCUUGCCUAGCACAUGCAAGGCCCUGGGUUUGAUCCUCAGCACCA